GUUUUGGUGUUUAAUAAGUAACCUUUUUUGACAUUCUUUGGAUCAAGUCUAAAUUUUCAGAAUCUUUAAUCAACAUCACCGUUUCAAUAUGGAUUCUUGUUAUGAUAUUCAAAAGGGACAACCAAAAUCUAAAUCCAAAUCUUCGUAUCUAUGAAAAAAUUUAGUAAAAGCUAAAAGUAACGUGUGCUGACUUCAGUGAUACACACAUUAUGUUGAUCAGUAUCCACAACAUCACAGACACAGCAACUUAGAAUAUAAGAACCAAACGACCAUGCCUAAGGAACAUUACCGUCCAAAUAGGGAAGAUAAACAAUAGGGAACAAACAAUCGUCAUAACAUUGAGACGAUUCAUUGCUAUAUUUUACAAUAAAUUGUGUUUCAUAAAAAGAAAGAAACGCAUCUCCUUUUCAAAGGGUACAAUUCGUCUACAAAAAGUAGUGUCGGUCGCCAAAAAACAGGUUUAUUAUAAAGUGAUUACACACAUGUCUCACAAUUUUGAAUGACAUUUCGUGUAAUGUCAAUACAUUAUAAUUUUUGUUAUAAAUAAAAAUCUGAAAAA
RNAcentral lists this long non-coding RNA (559 nucleotides) under Mytilus galloprovincialis (Mediterranean mussel). Lineage: Eukaryota; Metazoa; Mollusca; Bivalvia; Mytilida; Mytilidae. The record is from RNAcentral.